Molecule: transfer RNA, 72 nt
Filed under: Bos taurus (domestic cattle)
Lineage: Eukaryota; Metazoa; Chordata; Mammalia; Artiodactyla; Bovidae
Also listed under: 4 other names
Rfam family: tRNA
About the family: Transfer RNA (tRNA) molecules are approximately 80 nucleotides in length. Their secondary structure includes four short double-helical elements and three loops (D, anti-codon, and T loops).
Source: Rfam by way of RNAcentral
UCCCUGAUAGCUCAGCUGGUAAAGAAUCCUCCUGCAAUGUGGGACACCUGGGUUCAAUCCCUGGUUUGGGAA